GUUAUGUAUAUACAGUUGAGUUAUUGCACGUAGAAUUGAUAUUGCACAGUGGUGGUCCAUAGAGGAAGUGGGAAGUGGGGGGCUGUGUUAUCGGUGCAUGUGUGAGUGUGCAAUACUUUUGUCCUGUGUGAACGACCAUCGUUGAACAGAGGCGGUGGCUUAUGACACCAACUGUCUGCCAUCUAUAAUCCAGUUUUAUCCCUUUUUGUUAGGGGUGACUGCACUUAAAGAGGCCUGGAAGCCUUUUCAGAGGCGUCUCUCUUCAUGCAUGAGAGACAAAGGUGCUACCCUGUCUGCUGGCUUUGUUAUCUUCACGCCUCGGCUCAUAUGAUUAGGCAUAAGAGGAUGAUUAGGGGUCCAUGACCCUCUUGGGGACACUCCCAUGUGGCUUAAAUGUGGGACUCUCCAUCAGUAGCUCCUUACACUACGCUGAGCUGGAUGACUGAGAACCUUCACAGACAUACUUCCAGGUGGAUGUAACGCUACGGAGAAACUACAGCGACAGUACACCGGCCAACUUUGGUGUUUUUACAAGUAUCAGGUAAUUUCAUAUGUGACUUCUCUAUCAGCUGAACAAACUGUUUAUGCAUAUUCACGCUAAAGUUAAAUACAGAGAAAACGCAGAGUCUCUGCUUUCAGAAACAAUUGGAUUAGUUUCAAUUGAGCGAACGGUUCAAAAGUUACUGUAAUUUAAAAACGUUGCAAAAACCUGUCGCCGCUUGUUGGAUUGUGAGUUUCAGGCAUUAAAAUGCUAUUCUACAUCCGGACACUAGAGGGCGCAGAGCGCGAUGGUGGUACUGAGCAGUGUUCUGGGGCGCAGAAGAAGAAUUUCACAGAAAGAACUUCCUGUUGUGAAGCUAACGCCCCUCACAGCAUGUGUGUCUUUUGUGUUCACGGUUUAAAGAAGAUUAUUGUGUUUUCGUCUACUUGUCACCCAGGCUGACAGCAGGUUCACUGCCUCAGUCCAAACAACAUGGAGAAAAAUGUUGUGUACUGCCUGCUGUGCAACGAGCCCCAGCUGUCCAUUUCGACUCACCUGAGCAGAGUGUGCCUCAAAGACGGCACAGCACAGGAGAGGGAGCAAGAAGCUUCCAGAGCUACUGCCUCCCAGGAGCUGUUUUCUAGGGAAGGUCGACUCUGGAGCUUCUCGGAGCUGCAGGAGUUUUGCAAGGACACAACAUCUUGCAUCAAACUCUGCAGUCGCCUUCAGAGUCGUGGCUUUAUCAUCACAGAUGCUCCCCAAACCUGGCCAACAGUGCUGCCAACACAGAGGUCUGAUAAGAAGGAAGUCCUCGCCGUGGCCAAAAAGGACAUCGAGUAUUUCCACCAAAAGCUUGCAGGCGGUGAUUGCAUCCCCAACGUUGCCAUGACAACGUUCAGGCAGUACUGCGAGGCCAUCCUGAUAUUACAGCACGGACUGACAGCAAGUGCUGUUCAGGAUUUUUCUGUGCAGGACUGGAUGGAGCGAAGGGAAAGCUUGAGGAUGACCAUCCAGGAAGAAGAACUGUUGGAGUGCUACUUUAAGAACAUCCGCCCAGUGUCCUUACGAAACCAAAGAGCUGGCAGUGAUGAUGGGGGCAGGUUCUUCCUGGGAGAAGGUGGGGUCCCUCUGACCAACCCAGGAUUAGAUGUAGGGCGCCUGAGGGCCAGAUACCUGCGCAGCGACACUGAGGAUCCUGCAGCUGGGUCAGCGUCACACUCAGCAGGAGGAGUAGAAACUUCGGGACAGGCCAGGUCCAUUUCCACAAAGCGCCUACCACUCAGAGAAUGGGAUGCCUUCCAGCGGACCUUCCCAGUAACCGUAAAUGGAGAGCCACCUUCAAAACGUCGGUGUGUACAGGCUGGUUUUCCACACUACCGAGCCCACUACCGCAAGUGGAGGGAGCAUCAGCUUAAGCAGAGAGUUCAGCACAUCCUCGGGUGUGUCAGAAGAGGCAACGCCCCUCAGCGUGCAAGAGUACAGAUGGCAUUAGAUAAGGAGACCUGGUUCACCAACAAGCCCACUGUUGAUGCCGUCCUACAGGCCUGGGUUGCUCCACAGCCCAGGAUCCAGGACAGCCAGUCCCUCAUGUCCUCGAUUUCAGAGCAGAAAUGGAAGGGCCUGUCGUUGAAGGACUUUAGGGAGGAAAAGGGCAAAGGUGUGAUCGCCCUGAUGCCCUUCAACAAAGGAGACGUCGUCUGCGACUACCACGGGACGUGCAUCACCAAAGCUGCAGGGAAUCGGAGGCGGCAGUCGGGGUCUCUCUUCUUCUACAGGGACGAGUGCCACAGGGUUGAUGCCACUGCGUCCCCCUGUGCCUGCCACCUGCACAAGGACUCCUAUGGAAGGCAAAUCAACCAUUGCCAAAGGAAUCCAAACGUGAGGCCACAAAGGUUCACAAUGAACUUCCCUGCUGGUCCUCGGGAGAGUGUGCUGUUCAUCGCCCUGAGGGACAUCGCGGUUGGAGAGGAACUCCUGUGGGACUAUGGAGUCUAG
Molecule: long non-coding RNA, 2476 nt
Organism: Oreochromis niloticus (Nile tilapia)
Lineage: Eukaryota; Metazoa; Chordata; Actinopteri; Cichliformes; Cichlidae
Source: Ensembl